GACGAACGCUGGCGGCGUGCCUAAUACAUGCAAGUAGAACGCUGAAGCGAGGAGCUUGCUCUUCUUGGAUGAGUUGCGAACGGGUGAGUAACGCGUAGGUAACCUGCCUUGUAGCGGGGGAUAACUAUUGGAAACGAUAGCUAAUACCGCAUAACAAUGGAUGACACAUGUCAUUUAUUUGAAAGGGGCAAUUGCUCCACUACAAGAUGGACCUGCGUUGUAUUAGCUAGUAGGUGAGGUAAUGGCUCACCUAGGCGACGAUACAUAGCCGACCUGAGAGGGUGAUCGGCCACACUGGGACUGAGACACGGCCCACACUCCUACGGGAGGCAGCAGUAGGGAAUCUUCGGCAAUGGGGGCAACCCUGACCGAGCAACGCCGCGUGAGUGAAGAAGGUUUUCGGAUCGUAAAGCUCUGUUGUAAGUCAAGAACGGGUGUGAGAGUGGAAAGUUCACACUGUGACGGUAGCUUACCAGAAAGGGACGGCUAACUACGUG
This 497-nucleotide ribosomal RNA is filed under the name uncultured bacterium. RNAcentral describes it as "partial 16S ribosomal RNA". It matches the Rfam family "Bacterial small subunit ribosomal RNA", at positions 28 to 507 of the family's 1533-position model. The record is from RNAcentral.